RNAcentral lists this ribosomal RNA (678 nucleotides) under Phycisphaerales bacterium. RNAcentral's name for it is "partial 23S ribosomal RNA". It matches the Rfam family "Bacterial large subunit ribosomal RNA", at positions 872 to 1555 of the family's 2925-position model. The record is from RNAcentral. Lineage: Bacteria; Pseudomonadati; Planctomycetota; Phycisphaerae; Phycisphaerales.
AGGGCUAGCCUCAAGCGUAGAGAAACGGAGGUAGAGCACUGAAUGUCCUAGGGGGUAUUGCACUUACCGAAGACUAUCAAACUCCGAAUGCCGUUUUCUUUUACUUGGGAGUCAGACUGUGGGUGAUAAGAUUCAUAGUCAAAAGGGCAACAGCCCAGAUCGUCAGCUAAGGUCCCUAAAUGUACGUUAAGUGGUAAAGGAUGUGGGAUUGCACAGACAACCAGGAUGUUGGCUUAGAAGCAGCCACUCAUUUAAAGAGUGCGUAAUAGCUCACUGGUCGAGUGAUCCUGCGCCGAAAAUUUCCGGGGCUAAAACGUACUACCGAAGCUACGGCAUCAUUUAUGAUGGGUAGGGGAGCUUCGUAUGCAGGCUGAAGCAUGACCGUAAGGACAUGUGGACAGUAUACGAGUGAGAAUGUUGGCAUGAGUAGCGAGACGUGGGUGAGAAUCCCACGGGCCGUAAACCCAAGGUUUCCAGGGGAAGGUUCGUCCGCCCUGGGUUAGUCGGGACCUAAGCCGAGGCCGAAAGGCGUAGGUGAUGGACAACAGGUUGAUAUUCCUGUACCGCCAAUAAGCGUUUGAGAGAUGGAGUGACACAGUAGGAUAAGCUAACCGUACUGUUGGUUAUGUACGGCUAAGCAUUGAGGCAGUCUAAAUAGGCAAAUCCGUUUAGACAAUG